AUACGUAGGGAGCGAGCGUUACCCGGAAUUACUGGGCGUAAAGAGCACGUAGGCGGUUGGAUAAGUCUUCUGUGAAAGCUCCCGGCUCAACUGGGAGAGGUCAGGUGAUACUAUUCGACUUGAGGGCUGUAGAGGUAAGCGGAAUUCCCGGUGUAGCGGUGAAAUGCGUAGAUAUCAGGAGGAACACCAGCGGCGAAAGCGGCUUACUGGGCAGUGCCUGACGCUGAGGUGCGAGAGCGUGGGGAGCAAACUGGAUUAGAAACCCCAGUAGUCC
RNAcentral lists this ribosomal RNA (274 nucleotides) under uncultured bacterium. RNAcentral's name for it is "partial 16S ribosomal RNA". It matches the Rfam family "Bacterial small subunit ribosomal RNA", at positions 523 to 796 of the family's 1533-position model. The record is from RNAcentral.